CUGGCCCCGCCCCCACCGCCGGCGGGCGCCGCGCUGGGUCUCGCGGGAGCGGCGGGCCGGUAUUUAAGGCCCCGGGAGGCGCCACGUUCUCCUUUUCCCUGCCGGCCGCUCCCGCGUGUGUGGCGCGGGCCGCACGCGUCCCUGUGGCGGCCGCCCGGCAGGGAGGAAGGCGGCAGAAAGCGUCCCAAGGUACCGGCAAGGCCUUCAAAUGGCCCCGAAGGGGUUUGUCCGCCGGCCUGCCGCGCUUGGCUUCUGCCGAAGCCGCAGGAGGCAAAGCACUGUAGGCCAUGCCAGUGGGAAGCUCUGGCGAGCUGGAGUCGUGCCUUCACACCCAUAGAGAUGCUAUUUAGCAACUUCAUGUUAGAAAUAUUCUAAAUGUGGAUGAUCACACCUCAAUUAGAAGCAAUGCUUGGGACUUAGGAAUGGACACUACCUUCUGCUACAAGGUUUCUCAAGUGUGCUGGUGCUUUAUGAACCCAUGUGAUAAACAUCUUGAGUGAGAAGUGUCCCUUGUAAAUUUGUUCAUUUCCAGGAAGGAAACCAGCAUAUAUGAGCAAUUUGAACUGAUAUUAAACAUCAGAUCAUGAUUUCAUGAGUGGCUGAUUUCUGAAUUCAUACUAGAUGACUCCAGUUGUCACCUGUAAUGUAUUGUCUUGGAAGUGGAAUUGAGACAAGCAAUGGCUAAAACUACACAUCUUCCACGAUCAUGUUUAAACAGGAACCUCGCCAUUUGUUGAAAUGGGUUUCUUAAUAGAAAUUGCUGUAACAUUUCUAUGUGCAUGGAUUGAAAUAAAAUAUGAGAAUGGUA
Molecule: long non-coding RNA, 808 nt
Organism: Athene cunicularia (burrowing owl)
Lineage: Eukaryota; Metazoa; Chordata; Aves; Strigiformes; Strigidae
Exons: 5
Source: RefSeq, a predicted model, not a curated record